ACGGGUCUCCGUUGGUGACCAGCGGAGGGACAUUACCGAGUUAUACAACUCCCAAACCCCAUGUGAACAUACCUAUUGUUGCUUCGGCGGGCUCCCCUCGCUUCGGCGAGGCGCCCGCCAGAGGACCCCUAUAAACCCUUAUUUUAAGAAGAAUUUCUGAGUAAUUGAUACAAAAAUCAAAAUCAAAACUUUCAACAACGGAUCUCUUGGCUCUGGCAUCGAUGAAGAACGCAGCGAAAUGCGAUAAGUAAUGUGAAUUGCAGAAUUCAGUGAAUCAUCGAAUCUUUGAACGCACAUUGCGCCCGCCAGUAUUCUGGCGGGCAUGCCUGUUCGAGCGUCAUUUCAACCCUCAAGCUCUGCUUGGCGUUGGGGAUCGGCAGAACGGCUCCCCGGAGCCGCGCCGUCCCUCAAAUGCAGUGGCGGUCUCGCUGCAGCCUUCUAUGCGUAGUAGCACACCUCGCACUGGAGCGCAGCCUGGCCACGCCGUAAAACCCCCUACUUUUUGUGGUUGACCUCGAAUCAGGUAGGACUACCCGCUGAACUUAAGCAUAUCAAAGGCGGGAGGAAA
Molecule: ribosomal RNA, 568 nt
Filed under: Rugonectria castaneicola
Lineage: Eukaryota; Fungi; Ascomycota; Sordariomycetes; Hypocreales; Nectriaceae
Description: eukaryotic LSU rRNA
Rfam family: 5.8S ribosomal RNA (bases 187-340)
Source: RNAcentral